GAAAUGCGAUAAGUAAUGUGAAUUGCAGAAUUCAGUGAAUCAUCGAAUCUUUGAACGCACCUUGCGCUCCUUGGUAUUCCGAGGAGCAUGCCUGUUCGAGUGUCAUGAAAUCUCUCAAACCGACGUCCCCCUUUGGCGGGAUGUUUGGGCUUGGACGUUGGACGUUUGCCGGGUUUUUGCCCGGCUCGUCUCAAAUGCAUUAGCUGGAUCCUCUUUCUUCCGGUUUUGGUGUGAUAAUGACAUCUACGCCGAUGAAUGCCGCGUCGAAAGGGGACCGCUCUCCAAUCGUCUUCGGACAACAUUUUCGUUCCAUUUGGCCUCGGAUCAGGUAGGACUACCCGCUGAACUUAA
This 351-nucleotide unclassified non-coding RNA is filed under the name uncultured Agaricomycetes. Its description in RNAcentral is "sequence contains ITS1". The stretch from base 1 to 105 matches the Rfam family "5.8S ribosomal RNA", at positions 50 to 154 of the family's 154-position model. The record is from RNAcentral. Lineage: Eukaryota; Fungi; Basidiomycota; Agaricomycetes.